UUGGAGGGCAAGUCUGGUGCCAGCAGCCGCGGUAAUUCCAGCUCCAAUAGCGUAUAUUAAAGUUGUUGCAGUUAAAAAGCUCGUAGUUGAAUUUCGGGAUCAAUCUGUUGGUCGUGCCUUUGGUACGUACUAGCUUAUUGAUUUCUCCCUUCUGACGAACCAUGAUGUCAUUAAUUUGGUGUCAUGGGGAAUCAGGACUGUUACUUUGAAAAAAUUAGAGUGUUUAAAGCAGGCUCACGCUUGAAUACAUUAGCAUGGAGUAAUGAAAUAGGACGUUUUGAUUCUAUUUUGUUGGUUUCUAGGAUCGACGUAAUGAUUAAUAGGGAUAGUUGGGGGCAUUAGUAUUCAAUUGUCAGAGGUGAGAUUCUUGGAUUUAUUGAAGGCUAACUACUGCGAAAGCAUUUGCCAAGGAUGUUUUCAUUAAUCAAGAACGAAAGUUAGGGGAUCGAAGACGAUCAGAUACCGUCGUAGUCUUAACCAUAAACUAUGCCGACUAGGGAUCGGAUGAUGUUAAUUUUUAAUGGCUCAUUCGGCGCCUUACGGGAAACCAAAGUGUUUGGGUUC
This 564-nucleotide ribosomal RNA is filed under the name uncultured Glomeromycotina. RNAcentral's name for it is "SSU rRNA". It matches the Rfam family "Eukaryotic small subunit ribosomal RNA", at positions 548 to 1114 of the family's 1831-position model. Lineage: Eukaryota; Fungi; Glomeromycota. The record is from RNAcentral.